AAUAGAUACCCAGGUAGUCCACGCCGUAAACGAUGAGUGCUAAGUGUUAGAGGGUUUCCGCCCUUUAGUGCUGCAGCUAACGCAUUAAGCACUCCGCCUGGGGAGUACGGUCGCAAGACUGAAACUCAAAGGAAUUGACGGGGGCCCGCACAAGCGGUGGAGCAUGUGGUUUAAUUCGAAGCAACGCGAAGAACCUUACCAGGUCUUGACAUCCUCUGACAACUCUAGAGAUAGAGCGUUCCCCUUCGGGGGACAGAGUGACAGGUGGUGCAUGGUUGUCGUCAGCUCGUGUCGUGAGAUGUUGGGUUAAGUCCCGCAACGAGCGCAACCCUUGGUCUUAGUUGCCAGCAUUUAGUUGGGCACUCUAAGGUGACUGCCGGUGACAAACCGGAGGAAGGUGGGGAUGACGUCAAAUCAUCAUGCCCCUUAUGACCUGGGCUACACACGUGCUACAAUGGAUGGUACAAAGGGCUGCAAGACCGCGAGGUCAAGCCAAUCCCAUAAAACCAUUCUCAGUUCGGA
Molecule: ribosomal RNA, 522 nt
Filed under: uncultured bacterium
Lineage: Bacteria
Description: bacterial SSU rRNA
Rfam family: Bacterial small subunit ribosomal RNA
Source: RNAcentral